UCUGUAACUGGCGGAGAAAAAAAGAAGCAGUUUAAUGAGCGUGUUCAUGUUGAAGGUUAUUUUAGAAAUAUCUAUUCAUUUAUUUGUACUGGGACGACACACUCCCAGCCUCAGCGCAACUGGUCCGGCUUCGUUAUGUAAGCUGGUGGCAGUCAGCCAGUCUCUCUCUCUCCCCAGACUUUUACCACGUCGUGUUUGUCAGUAAUGUUAAUUAUCUAUUCAGUUUUGUAAAAAAUAUUUAUUUUCAGUCCCAACUCAUGUGUGGUCUCCUCUUUUCAAACAGGGUUGCAACAAACUGGGGGCUUGUCUUAGAUCAAAUGAAUCAUUUGAGUAAUUGGACCCGGUUCGGUUGGUGUGGUUGCUACUUCCUGUCACAAUAGUCAGCGUUUUGGAUGAAACCCAAGCUAGUUUCAGACAUGCACUGAGGUCCGGACAUUUUCCAGAACUUUUCCUGGGUGAAUGGGGCUGACAGGGAAUGACCUGCCAAACUUCUGGUAAGUAAAUGACCCAGUCUACCUCGUGAGCCACAGCUGCCCUAGAACAGUUAGGGCAGUUUGUGUAUCAGGGUUUGUUUUGCUAUGCUUUAUAAGGUGUGAUGGAUCUAAUCACUACAUCUUUCCUUAAAUAAAUCAACGCAUAUCCAUUUAAUCACUAAUAUAGCCAUGUAUGGACACGGAGAACAACCCACAGGUUCAGUCCAGUGUUUGAUCAGAAUUCACAACAAGUAGCUCGACAGUGACUCACAGGACAGGCCAGGGUUGAGGUCGGCCACCUUGCCUUUCCUGCGGGACUGCUUCCUCUCCUCGUCUCGGAUCUUCCUCUCCGCUCCCUUGUCACAGAACACCUUGAUCUGGCAGAAGGCGCGGUGGAUGGGCUUGUUGCUGCGGUUGUUGUAGCUGUAGGUGUCGAUCUGCAGGUUCAGAGGGAGACCCUUCACCCCCUUCUGAGAGGAGAAGUCGGUGCUCAGACAGUUGACGGAGAUGAAGAUCUGGGGAGAAGAAGACAGGACCAAUAAGACAAAGACGAGACAACAAAGAGAAAAAAAUCUAAUUUCAGAAUUGAAAUGGAUUAUAAUUAUAAUAUUUGUCAAUUAAAAAGGCAACUUAUGUGACAAAUUCACUUAUUUCUAAAUCAUUACAACUUUUUACUUGUUCUCAUCAGUCUUUGUGAAACACUUGAGGCAGCAGUGUAUUCUGUGAUCUGUGCUGCCCUCUAUUGAGUGACUUCAGUCAUUACAGGCUUUUUGAACUGGAGACAAUCUUCUGUUCACCUGGGGCCUGAACUAUACAGCAAGGUCUGAGGUUAGAGAGGUAAGGCCAGGUUAAACUGGGAUUUCAGGGCUAAAGUCAGUCUUCAUUUCUACAGGAUCCUGUAGAAAUAAUUAAUUAAAGGGAAAUGGCAAUUUUACAUAUCGGGGCAUUUUUCCACAACCCAAACAAACUGAGGGAGAGUUUAUCACAAUAAAUAUAAACAUAACAACGAUUUCAUAUCAAACUGACUUCUCUGAAAUUAUUAAUAAUUUGUACUAUUUUAUCGCUGUUAUUCUAUAACAUUAGGAGACUCUCUGAUGAUAAUUUGAAAAAAAAAAGCUAACGGAACUCAUUAAAAAAUGAUCACAGGGCUCAUCAUUAUAUAUGAAUAUUAUAAUUUUAAACUCAUCAGAUAUUAACUACUUUUUCUUCUCUUGCUUCUGCAUUACAUGUUCAUGACAAUUUGUUCAUCAUCAGACAAAGGAGCAAUCCUUCGUUGAAUGUUGCUUUUGGACGUUGCUACAACUGAAUUUAUUUUCAGAUAUCAGUGUUUCCUCUCAUAUAAUAUUGAAUCUUUUAUUAAUGAUGAGUAACUUUCUUUUAUAUAAAUGAGCUCGUAGCAACGUUUAACGGAGCCAGUUCGUAACCAGCUUUCUGAUGCAGGUUAACUUAUCCCAAGGCGGCUGAUGUUAGGUUCAGUGAAGCCAGAUAAACAAAAGAUAUCCUGGCCGUGUCGAACUUCCUUUGUAGAACAGGCCUCUGGUGCUUGUAUUGAAAACAGGUUGUCAUUAUGUCAACAAAACAGUCUCAGAACAGACGGUUUGAAACAACUAACGGACGAGCAGGUCACACUGAUAUCAGUCAUACUCAAAUGUAUUUGUAUUAUUUCACAAGAAUCAUGCAUUUAAAAAAAAAAAAAAAAAGUCGAUAAAGAUUAUUGUGCGCCCGGAGAACAAUGCACGCUCUAUUCGUUGAAACAUAACUUUAUUUAUAUGGAAUGUGGAGACAAGCUGAGGAAUCCAGUUAAUCAUGCUGAUGUAAAAUAGUUAAUGUCUGGGAAUGAUUGUUUUGGAGGAAGAGUAUUUUAACAGAAUUUACAGGCAUAUCCAGACUUUAAAUGAAUAAAGCACAAUAAAUACAUAUUUGAAUUUUAA
Molecule: long non-coding RNA, 2404 nt
Organism: Platichthys flesus (European flounder)
Lineage: Eukaryota; Metazoa; Chordata; Actinopteri; Pleuronectiformes; Pleuronectidae
Exons: 2
Source: RefSeq, a predicted model, not a curated record